RNAcentral lists this ribosomal RNA (492 nucleotides) under uncultured bacterium. RNAcentral describes it as "partial 16S ribosomal RNA". It matches the Rfam family "Bacterial small subunit ribosomal RNA", at positions 29 to 507 of the family's 1533-position model. The record is from RNAcentral.
AGCGAACGCUGGCGGUAGGCCUAACACAUGCAAGUCGAACGGCAGCACAGUAAGAUCUUGCUCUUACGGGUGGCGAGUGGCGGACGGGUGAGGAAUACAUCGGAAUCUACUUUUUCGUGGGGGAUAACGUAGGGAAACUUACGCUAAUACCGCAUACGACCUACGGGUGAAAGCAGGGGAUCUUCUGACCUUGCGCGAUUGAAUGAGCCGAUGUCGGAUUAGCUAGUUGGCGGGGUAAAGGCCCACCAAGGCGGCGAUCCGUAGCUGGUCUGAGAGGAUGAUCAGCCACACUGGAACUGAGACACGGUCCAGACUCCUACGGGAGGCAGCAGUGGGGAAUAUUGGACAAUGGGCGCAAGCCUGAUCCAGCCAUACCGCGUGGGUGAAGAAGGCCUUCGGGUUGUAAAGCCCUUUUGUUGGGAAAGAAAAGCAGCAGGUUAAUACCCCGCUGUUCUGACGGUACCCAAAGAAUAAGCACCGGCUAACUUCGUG